Long non-coding RNA from Arabidopsis thaliana (thale cress), 256 nucleotides. RefSeq annotates it as other RNA. The record is from RefSeq. NCBI's taxonomy places the organism in Eukaryota, Viridiplantae, Streptophyta, Magnoliopsida, Brassicales, Brassicaceae. The transcript has a single exon.
AUGGGAGUUUCGGGCCUUUGGUCAACAUUUAGAUUUUACGAUUUAAAGAAUAUUGGGGCACAAGGGAACCAACCCCUUUUUACCACUAGGCCGCCACCUCUUUGAUGAGAAGCAAGUAGUUGGAGAAGCUCAUUCAGAAAUCCAAUAGUAUAAUAUGAAUACACAAACAUCAAUUUGCUGGAGACCAUGAAGGUGAAAAACAGUUCGAGAAGCCCUUCAAAGAGGAGCUACGCUUACCGGUUAGCGUCUGCGCCGA